RNAcentral lists this ribosomal RNA (379 nucleotides) under uncultured cyanobacterium. RNAcentral describes it as "bacterial SSU rRNA". It matches the Rfam family "Bacterial small subunit ribosomal RNA", at positions 376 to 770 of the family's 1533-position model. Lineage: Bacteria; Bacillati; Cyanobacteriota. The record is from RNAcentral.
CGAAAGCCUGACGGAGCAACGCCGCGUGAGGGAUGAAGGCCUCUGGGCUGUAAACCUCUUUUCUCAAGGAAGAAGAUCUGACGGUACUUGAGGAAUAAGCCACGGCUAAUUCCGUGCCAGCAGCCGCGGUAAUACGGGAGUGGCAAGCGUUAUCCGGAAUUAUUGGGCGUAAAGCGUCCGCAGGCGGCCUAUCAAGUCUGUCGUUAAAGCGUGGAGCUUAACUCCAUUUGAGCGAUGGAAACUGAAAGGCUAGAGUGUGGUAGGGGCAGAGGGAAUUCCCGGUGUAGCGGUGAAAUGCGUAGAUAUCGGGAAGAACACCAGUGGCGAAGGCGCUCUGCUGGGCCAUAACUGACACUCAUGGACGAAAGCCAGGGGAGCG